UGGGGCUAUAGCUCAGCUGGGAGAGCGCUUGCAUGGCAUGCAAGAGGUCGACGGUUCGAUCCCGUCUAGCUCCACC
This 76-nucleotide transfer RNA is filed under the name Yersinia enterocolitica. RNAcentral's name for it is "tRNA-Ala". It matches the Rfam family "tRNA". Rfam says of the family: Transfer RNA (tRNA) molecules are approximately 80 nucleotides in length. Their secondary structure includes four short double-helical elements and three loops (D, anti-codon, and T loops). Lineage: Bacteria; Pseudomonadati; Pseudomonadota; Gammaproteobacteria; Enterobacterales; Yersiniaceae. The record is from RNAcentral.